CCUACGGGCGGCAGCAGUGAGGAAUAUUGGUCAAUGGGCGGGAGCCUGAACCAGCCAAGUCGCGUGAGGGAUGACGGCCCUAUGGGUUGUAAACCUCUUUUGCCGGGGAGCAAAGUGCCGCACGUGUGCGGUUUGGAGAGUACCCGGAGAAAAAGCAUCGGCUAACUCCGUGCCAGCCGCCGCGGUAAUACGGAGGAUGCGAGCGUUAUCCGGAUUUAUUGGGUUUAAAGCGUUCGUAGGCGGCAAGGUAAGUCUGAUGUUAAAGCCCGGGGCUCAACUCCGGUUCGGCAUUGGAUACUAUCUAGCUAGAAUGUGGUAGAGGUAAAGGGAAUUCCUGGUGUAGCGGUGAAAUGCGUAGAUAUCAGGAGGAACAUCGGUGGCGAAAGCGCUUUACUGGACCAUUAUUGACGCUGAGGAACGAAAGCCAGGGGAGCAAAUGGGAUUAGAUACCCUAGUAGUC
This 460-nucleotide ribosomal RNA is filed under the name uncultured bacterium. RNAcentral describes it as "partial 16S ribosomal RNA". It matches the Rfam family "Bacterial small subunit ribosomal RNA", at positions 338 to 795 of the family's 1533-position model. The record is from RNAcentral.